This 76-nucleotide transfer RNA is filed under the name Tissierellia bacterium. RNAcentral describes it as "tRNA-Thr". It matches the Rfam family "tRNA". Rfam says of the family: Transfer RNA (tRNA) molecules are approximately 80 nucleotides in length. Their secondary structure includes four short double-helical elements and three loops (D, anti-codon, and T loops). Further hydrogen bonds mediate the characteristic L-shaped molecular structure. tRNAs have two regions of fundamental functional importance: the anti-codon, which is responsible for specific mRNA codon recognition, and the 3' end, to which the tRNAs corresponding amino acid is attached (by aminoacyl-tRNA synthetases). tRNAs cope with the degeneracy of the genetic code in two manners: having more than one tRNA (with a specific anti-codon) for a particular amino acid; and 'wobble' base-pairing, i.e. permitting non-standard base-pairing at the 3rd anti-codon position. The record is from RNAcentral. Lineage: Bacteria; Bacillati; Bacillota; Tissierellia.
GCCAGUGUAGCUCAAUUGGCAGAGCAACUGAUUUGUAAUCAGUAGGUUGCGGGUUCGAGUCCCAUCACUGGCUCCA